ACGGGGUGCAGCAGGCGCGAAACCUCUGCAAUAGGCGAAAGCCUGACAGGGUUACUCUGAGUGAUUCCCGCUAAGGGGAUCUUUUGGCACCUCUAAAAAUGGUGCAGAAUAAGGGGUGGGCAAGUCUGGUGUCAGCCGCCGCGGUAAUACCAGCACCCCGAGUGGUCGGGACGAUUAUUGGGCCUAAAGCAUCCGUAGCCGGUCAUGCAAGUCCUCCGUUAAAUCCACCUGCUUAACAGAUGGGCUGCGGAGGAUACUACAAGGCUAGGAGGCGGAAGAGGCAAGCGGUACUCAGUGGGUAGGGGUAAAAUCCUCUGAUCCAUUGAAGACCACCAGUGGCGAAGGCGGCUUGCCAAUACGCACUCGACGGUGAGGGAUGAAAGCUGGGGGAGCAAACCGGAUUAGAUACCCGGGUAGUCCCAGCUGUAAACGAUGCAGACUCGGUGAUGGGCCGGCUUUAUGCCGGCUCAGUGCCGCAGGGAAGCCGUUAAGUCUGCCGCCUGGGGAGUACGGUCGCAAGACUGAAACUUAAAGGAAUUGGCGGGGGAGCAC
Molecule: ribosomal RNA, 552 nt
Filed under: uncultured archaeon
Lineage: Archaea
Description: bacterial SSU rRNA
Rfam family: Archaeal small subunit ribosomal RNA
Source: RNAcentral